RNAcentral lists this ribosomal RNA (501 nucleotides) under uncultured bacterium. RNAcentral describes it as "partial 16S ribosomal RNA". It matches the Rfam family "Bacterial small subunit ribosomal RNA", at positions 29 to 523 of the family's 1533-position model. The record is from RNAcentral.
AUUGAACGCUGGCGGCAUGCCUUACACAUGCAAGUCGAACGGCAGCACGGGUGCUUGCACCUGGUGGCGAGUGGCGAACGGGUGAGUAAUACAUCGGAACGUACCUUAUCGUGGGGGAUAACGCAGCGAAAGCUGUGCUAAUACCGCAUACGCCCUGAGGGGGAAAGCGGGGGAUCGAAAGACCUCGCGCGAUUAGAGCGGCCGAUGCCUGAUUAGCUUGUUGGUGGGGUAAAAGCCCACCAAGGCGACGGUCAGUAGCUGGUCUGAGAGGACGAUCAGCCACACUGGGACUGAGACACGGCCCAGACUCCUACGGGAGGCAGCAGUGGGGAAUUUUGGACAAUGGGGGCAACCCUGAUCCAGCAAUGCCGCGUGAGUGAAGAAGGCCUUCGGGUUGUGAAGCUCUUUUGUCAGGGAAGAAACACCGGCUCUAACACAGUCCGGGAAUGACGGUACCUGAAGAAUAAGCACCGGCUAACUACGUGCCAGCAGCCGCCGCAG